UCACUCGCAUUCACAACCAAUAAUGUCACUUGAUGAAAUAAAUUGCUAAUCACAAUUUUCAACUAAAAUUAUUUCUUGACCAGUUCCUAGGUGAACAAUUAGGUAACAUCAACGAAGUACAUUUUUAAGUUGACAUUAUAUAGCAAUAUUGUCGCAAGGAGAUGAGAAGAGAAAAGAAGAGAGGAGCAAUGAGAGACAUGACUGAAUUUUGAUCGACGCCCCUAAGGAGACAACUUUUCAUCGAAUGACGGGACAUUUCUUGUCAACUCUCGUAUCAUGGUAUGAAUAGUUUUUACACCUGAGUUGAUACGCCGUGGAAUGGAUGUAUAGAUAUCAAUUAAAUCGUUACCGCUACGACCGAAAGCAGCUUCUUCAACCCAAUUUCUCAAACAAUUUAACAGCAUUUCAACGUGUUAUGGAAAUCAACUGAUCGGCCCAGUGAGCAACCAGUGUAUGAAUAAAAUUGCAUUCGUAAAUCAAAUGUCGUAACGAAUAAAACUCAUACACUCUUUGUGUAUAUUUUCCUGCAUGCUAAGCAAUUA
Xenia sp. Carnegie-2017 is the source of this 542-nucleotide long non-coding RNA. RefSeq lists it as uncharacterized. The record is from RefSeq and is a predicted model, not a curated record. The transcript has 2 exons. NCBI's taxonomy places the organism in Eukaryota, Metazoa, Cnidaria, Anthozoa, Malacalcyonacea, Xeniidae.